UGCCUGUACCAUAACCGACACAGGUGGGUAGGUAGAGUAUACUAAGGGGCGCGAGAUAACUCUCUCUAAGGAACUCGGCAAAAUGACUCCGUAACUUCGGGAGAAGGAGUGCCUUAUUUAUAAGGUUGCAAUAACAAGAUCCAAGCAACUGUUUAUCAAAAACACAGGUCUCCGCUAAGUCGUAAGACGAUGUAUGGGGGCUGACGCCUGCCCAGUGCCAGAAGGUUAAAGAAGUUGGUUAGUGUAUGCGAAGCUGAUGACUGAAGCCCUGGUGAACGGCGGCCGUAACAAUAACGGUCCUAAGGUAGCGAAAUUCCUUGUCGGGUAAGUUCCGACCCGCACGAAAGGCGUAAUGAUUUGGAUACUGUCUCGGAGAGAGGCUCGGUGAAAUAGACUUGUCUGUGAAGAUGCGGACUACCUGCACCAGGACAGAAAGACCCUAUGAAGCUUUACUGUAACUUGAAAUUGGAAUUGGACUUUGCUUGCGCAGUAUAGGUGGGAAGCGUUGAAGAUAUUCUUGCGGGAGUAUUGGAGCUAUCAGUGAGAUACCACUCUUGUAAUGUUAGAUUUCUAACUUUGAACCAUAAUCUGGUCAAAGAACAGUUUCAGGUGGGCAGUUUGACUGGGGCGGUCGCCUCCCAAAUGGUAACGGAGGCGUACAAAGGUUUCCUCUGAACGGAUAGAAAUCGUAUCUAGAGUGUAAAGGCAUAAGGAAGCUUGACUGUGAGACCUACAAGUCGAGCAGGGACGAAAGUCGGUCUUAGUGAUCUGACGGUACUGAGUGGAAAGGCCGUCACUCAACGGAUAAAAGUUACUCUAAGGAUAACAGGCUGAUCUCCCCCAAGAGUUCACAUCGACGGGGAGGUUUGGCACCUCGAUGUCGGCUCAUCGCAUCCUGGGGCGGUAGUACGUCCCAAGGGUUGGGCUGUUCGCCCAUGAAAGCGGUACGCGAGCUGGGUUCAGAACGUCGUGAGACAGUUCGGUCCAUAUCCGGUGUAGGCGUUAGAAUAUUGAGAGGAGCCUUCUUUAGUACGAGAGGACCGAGAAGGACACACCGCUGGUGUACCAGUUAUCGUGCCAACGGUAAACGCUGGGUAGCUAUGUGUGGAGUGGAUAACCGCUGAAAGCAUCUAAGUGGGAAGCCCACCUCAAGAUGAGUAUUCUCAUCACUAUAAGUGAGUAAGGUCACGGUAAGACUAACCGUUUGAUAGGCAUUAAGUGUAAAUGUAGUAAUGCAUGUGCUGAGAUGUCCUAACAGACCGAGGAC
Molecule: ribosomal RNA, 1267 nt
Filed under: metagenome
Description: bacterial LSU rRNA
Rfam family: Bacterial large subunit ribosomal RNA
Source: RNAcentral